RNAcentral lists this ribosomal RNA (505 nucleotides) under uncultured bacterium. RNAcentral's name for it is "partial 16S ribosomal RNA". It matches the Rfam family "Bacterial small subunit ribosomal RNA", at positions 28 to 507 of the family's 1533-position model. The record is from RNAcentral.
GACGAACGCUGGCGGCGUGCCUAAUACAUGCAAGUCGAACGCACAGUUUAUACCGUAGCUUGCUACACCAUAGACUGUGAGUUGCGAACGGGUGAGUAACGCGUAGGUAACCUGCCUGGUAGCGGGGGAUAACUAUUGGAAACGAUAGCUAAUACCGCAUAAUAUUGAUUAUUGCAUGAUAAUUGAUUGAUAGAUGCUAUUGCAUCACUACCAGAUGGACCUGCGUUGUAUUAGCUAGUAGGGGAGGUAACGGCUCACCUAGGCGACGGUACAUAGCCGACCCUGAAGGGAUGACGGCCACCCCUGGACUGGGACACGGCCCAGACCCCUUCGGGAAGCAGCCGUAGGGGAUCUUCGGCAAUGGACGGAAGUCUGACCCAGCAACGCCGCGGUGGGGAAGGAGGGUUUCGGGUCGUAAAGGUCUUUUUUAUGAGAAGAACGGGUGUGAGAGUGGAACGUUCACACUGUGACGGUAUCUUACCAGAAAGGGACGGCUAACUACGUG